Molecule: ribosomal RNA, 519 nt
Filed under: uncultured eukaryote
Lineage: Eukaryota
Description: partial 18S ribosomal RNA
Rfam family: Eukaryotic small subunit ribosomal RNA (bases 18-435)
Source: RNAcentral
AGGGCGCCACCAGGAGGGGAGCCUGCGGCUUAAUUUGACUCAACACGGGAAAACUCACCCGGCCCGGACACGGUAAGGAUUGACAGACUGAGAGCUCUUUCUUUUUUCGGUGGGGGGGGGGGCAUGGCCGUUCUUAGUUGGUGGAGGGAUUUGUCUGUUUUAUUCCGAUUACGAACAAGACUCUGGCCUAUUAAAUAAACGGAUUAUCGAAAUGUAUCUCGGGCUUCUUAGAUGGACAAGCGGCGUCUAGCCGCUUGAAAUAAAGCAAUAACAGGUCUGGGAUGCCCUUAAAGGCCCGGGGCUGCCCGCGCCCUACACUGAAAAAAACAGCGUGCGCUUUACCUAGUUCGGAAGAGCUGGGAAACCCAAGAAAAUCCCAGUGGCUUGGUUUAGGGUAGGGAUAUGUAAUUGCAAUUAUUGGAAUUGCACCGAGGAAGUUGCACUAAACGUCGGGUUGAAAACGACCUUUUUGGGGCCAACGCAGACACUAACCCACACUACUCGUUGAUCCCUUCUCGC